UAAAUACCGCAUACGACCUACGGGUGAAAGCAGGGGAUCUACUUGUAGACCUUGCGCGGAUGGAUGAGCCGAUGCCGGAUUAGCUAGUUGGAGGGGUAAAGGCCCACCAAGGCGACGAUCCGUAGCUGGUCUGAGAGGAUGAUCAGCCACACUGGGACUGAGACACGGCCCAGACUCCUACGGGAGGCAGCAGUGGGGAAUAUUGGACAAUGGGCGCAAGCCUGAUCCAGCCAUGCCGCGUGUGUGAAGAAGGCCUUCGGGUUGUAAAGCACUUUUGUUGGGAAAGAAAAGCUGCCGGUUAAUACCCGGGGGUCAUGACGGUACCCAAAGAAUAAGCACCGGCUAACUUCGUGC
This 354-nucleotide ribosomal RNA is filed under the name uncultured Stenotrophomonas sp. Its description in RNAcentral is "bacterial SSU rRNA". It matches the Rfam family "Bacterial small subunit ribosomal RNA", at positions 163 to 508 of the family's 1533-position model. Lineage: Bacteria; Pseudomonadati; Pseudomonadota; Gammaproteobacteria; Lysobacterales; Lysobacteraceae. The record is from RNAcentral.